This is a non-coding RNA of Strongylocentrotus purpuratus (purple sea urchin), 46 nucleotides long. NCBI's taxonomy places the organism in Eukaryota, Metazoa, Echinodermata, Echinoidea, Camarodonta, Strongylocentrotidae. The record is from Rfam.
CAACAAGUCCUUUUCAGGACUACACACCCCUCAAGAAAAGAAAAAU